Non-coding RNA from Gymnothorax javanicus (giant moray), 75 nucleotides. NCBI's taxonomy places the organism in Eukaryota, Metazoa, Chordata, Actinopteri, Anguilliformes, Muraenidae. The record is from the annotation of a GenBank genome assembly.
GGCCGGUUAGCUCAGUUGGUUAGAGCGUGGUGCUAAUAACGCCAAGGUCGCGGGUCCGAUCCCGUGAUCUGGCCA